Molecule: ribosomal RNA, 440 nt
Filed under: uncultured bacterium
Lineage: Bacteria
Description: partial 16S ribosomal RNA
Rfam family: Bacterial small subunit ribosomal RNA
Source: RNAcentral
ACUACGGGUGGCAGCUGUAGGGAAUUUUGCGCAAUGGGCGAAAGCCUGACGCAGCAACGCCGCGUGAUCGAGACGCCCUUCGGGGUGUAAAGAUCUGUCAGUGGGGACGAAACUUGACGGUACCCACAGAGGAAGCACCGGCUAACUCCGUGCCAGCAGCCGCGGUAAUACGGGGGGUGCAAGCGUUUACCGGAAUCAUUGGGCGUAACGAGUUCGUAGGCGGCACGUAAAGUCUGGAGUGAAAGGCAGAGGCUAAACUUCUGUACGGCCCUGGAUACUUGCGAGCUAGAAUGCGGUAGAGGUAAAGGGAAUUCCGGGUGUAGCGGUGAAAUGCUUAGAUAUCAGGAGGAACAUCGGUGGCGUAAGCGCUUUACUGGGCCGUAAUUGACGCUGAGGUACGAAAGCCAGGGUAGCAAAUGGGAUUAGAUACCCUUGUAGUC